GACGAACGCUGGCGGCGUGCUUAACACAUGCAAGUCGUACGGUAAGGCCCUUUCGGGGGUACACGAGUGGCGAACGGGUGAGUAACACGUGAGUAACCUGCCCACAACUUUGGGAUAACGCUAGGAAACUGGUGCUAAUACUGGAUAUGUGCUCCUGCUGCAUGGUGGGGGUUGGAAAGCUCCGGCGGUUGUGGAUGGACUCGCGGCCUAUCAGCUUGUUGGUGGGGUAGUGGCCUACCAAGGCGGCGACGGGUAGCCGGCCUGAGAGGGUGACCGGCCACAUUGGGACUGAGAUACGGCCCAGACUCCGACGGGAGGCAGCAGGGGGGAAUAUUGCACAAUGGGAGCAAGCCUGAUGCAGCAACGCCGCGUGCGGGAUGACGGCCUUCGGGUUGUAAACAGCUUUCAGCAGGGACGAAGCUUUUUGUGACGGUACCUGCAGAAGAAGCACCGGCUAACUACGUGC
Molecule: ribosomal RNA, 466 nt
Filed under: uncultured bacterium
Lineage: Bacteria
Description: partial 16S ribosomal RNA
Rfam family: Bacterial small subunit ribosomal RNA
Source: RNAcentral